This is a long non-coding RNA of Brassica rapa (field mustard), 2133 nucleotides long. RefSeq lists it as uncharacterized. NCBI's taxonomy places the organism in Eukaryota, Viridiplantae, Streptophyta, Magnoliopsida, Brassicales, Brassicaceae. The record is from RefSeq and is a predicted model, not a curated record.
UAUAAAUAUAUAUAUAUAUAUAUAUCCAUAAAUAACUUUUUUAAACUCUGAACCGAUUAAAAUAGAAAUGAAAAAUAUAGAAAAACAAGAACAUACAAGACACCAAAAGAAAAUCACAUUUCAUAUCUCUACAAGACAAAUGAGGUUUUAUUGUUCUUUUAGAGACUAGAAUAUAAUUCUAUGAGAAAAAAAAGAAGCAAAUUUUUAAUACAUGUACAUUGUCGUAAUUUGUAUCAGGUAAUUUCAUAGGUUUAUGGAAGAUCUUUACAUUUUGUUUCUCAAUUAUUUGUAUAUUAAUUAUUCUUACUUAUGUUAAUUUGUGAACAUAAGUAAAUAAUUGAAAUAAAAAGAUUAUUGUAAUUUUGAUUUUCUUUUACUUUUUAUUGUUUUUUUUUUAAAGUGAAAGUUUUUCAAUAAAAUACAUAUCGCUUACACAGAAAAUUCCAUGAUUAUUUUUUUAUGAGUCACAUUCAUUGUAAAUUGAAGGCGAAUUGAAAUGUCUCACAUCUAUAUUCUUCACCUGUCGCAUAAGCUAGUUAGCAAGGGAUUUACCUUUUUCAUUAGCUUUGUCAAAAAAAAAAUUAGCAUGCUUGGUAAUGACUUAAGUAUGUGACAUAAGAAAAAUAAUAAUCAUAAGCAUGCCUAAACGAAUAAAAGAAUAGAAGAUUAUGAACAGUUGAAAAAUCAUUUCCAAAAUCAGAGAACUGAGAAUGACUGUCCUCUGAGUGGGCUCACCAUGACUAGCCCAAGUUUGUGCAUAUGUGUAAUUCCAUUGUGAAAAUAGAAAACAUCGUAGUUUACAAAAAAAAACACAUAGUCCGAGUUCAAAUAUCUUACAAUACUAAAAGGGGAAUAUCAAGCCCUCUAAGCAUGUCCACGUCAUCAUAUAAAAUCAACCAAUGAGAAUACUAUGUUUUCUCCACGUUGUCAUUCGCCUCCAACGUGAAACGAUAUGGACUUCUCCUUCUUUGUUAUGUUUAGCCUCCAACUUGAAACUAUAUGGACUUUAUCUAACUCUUUUAUCUUAUGGGCUUUCUUUUUAUUUGUUAUAAGGUAGGUCCGUCAAGAUCAUCAUUUAUAUCAAGCCCUCUAAGCAUGUCCACGUCAUCAUAUAAAAUCAACCAAUGAGAAUACUAUGUUUUCUCCACGUUGUCAUUCGCCUCCAACGUGAAACGAUAUGGACUUCUCCUUCUUUGUUAUGUUUAGCCUCCAACUUGAAACUAUAUGGACUUUAUCUAACUCUUUUAUCUUAUGGGCUUUCUUUUUAUUUGUUAUAAGGUAGGUCCGUCAAGAUCAUCAUUUAUAUCAAGCCCUCUAAGCAUGUCCACGUCAUCAUAUAAAAUCAACCAAUGAGAAUACUAUGUUUUCUCCACGUUGUCAUUCGCCUCCAACGUGAAACGAUAUGGACUUCUCCUUCUUUGUUAUGUUUAGCCUCCAACUUGAAACUAUAUGGACUUUAUCUAACUCUUUUAUCUUAUGGGCUUUCUUUUUAUUUGUUAUAAGGUAGGUCCGUCAAGAUCAUCAUUUUCUCUCACUUAUGUGAUAGUCAAUCAAGAAAUAAGGUGAAACCUAAUUUGAAACCUAGCGAUCCCAUUUCCUUUCCCCCUCCGAAGUAACGCUACGCCGUAAUGUCAUUCAUUCAACACAACCCACUUUCUCCUCUUUAACACAGUUAAGCGCUACCAGAAUGGAAAGUUAUCAGCUCCAUUUGGCCGAAUUGAAGGUCGGCGUAGGCAGGUGGUCAGGCGUGGCUCCUCCGUUACUGGGAGGCUAGGAAUGUCAAAAAAGGUGGACAGUUAAUGGGAGUUUAUAUGCUGCUGCUAGAUGCUAAGGCGUCCAUAAAUGUCCAUCGACUCAACAGUCAACACCUUCCAACAUGUAUCGAGUGAAGGUUCAUCGUAUGAGCUUAUUGUUUUCAAUGUCCCACUAAGCAACCCCAACUUCCACUACAGUGAGAGCCCUCAUGCUAUUUGUUUCACAGACAAAACUGUUUUUGUUGACCUGACUGAACCGUCUGAACCGAUUCCAAAGGAGUGCUUAAUUACCAGAAACUUAUGGAGUUAGCCAAUACGAGCAUUGGUUUACCAGGUGUGGUUCUGUUUAUGUGUCUUUCAAUUUUCUAUAAAAGCUUUA